GACGAACGCUGGCGGCGUGCUUAACACAUGCAAGUCGAGCGGAAAGGCCCUUCGGGGUACUCGAGCGGCGAACGGGUGAGUAACACGUGAGUAACCUGCCCCAGACUUUGGGAUAACCCUCGGAAACGGGGGCUAAUACCGGAUACGACACAGCUUCGCAUGGGGUCUGUGUGGAAAGUUUUUCGGUUUGGGAUGGGCUCGCGGCCUAUCAGCUUGUUGGUGGGGUGAUGGCCUACCAAGGCGACGACGGGAAGCCGGCCUGAGAGGGCGACCGGCCACACUGGGACUGAGACACGGCCCAGACUCCUACGGGAGGCAGCAGUGGGGAAUAUUGCACAAUGGGCGGAAGCCUGAUGCAGCGACGCCGCGUGAGGGAUGACGGCCUUCGGGUUGUAAACCUCUUUCAGCAGGGACGAAGCGUAAGUGACGGUACCUGCAGAAGAAGCGCCGGCCAACUACGUG
This 462-nucleotide ribosomal RNA is filed under the name uncultured bacterium. RNAcentral's name for it is "partial 16S ribosomal RNA". It matches the Rfam family "Bacterial small subunit ribosomal RNA", at positions 28 to 507 of the family's 1533-position model. The record is from RNAcentral.